GGAAGGGUUGUAUUUAUUAGAUAAAGAAACAAUGCAGCUGGUGAUUCAUAAUAACUUUACGGAUCGCAUCUCUGAUGCGACAUAUCAUUCAAGUUUCUGACCUAUCAGCUUUAGACGGUAGGGUAUUGGCCUACCGUGGCUAUGACGGGUAACGGGGAAUUAGGGUUCGAUUCCGGAGAGGGAGCCUGAGAAACGGCUACCACAUCUAAGGAAGGCAGCAGGCGCGCAAAUUACCCAAUCCUGACACAGGGGGGGUGACAAGAAAUAACAAUACAGAGCCUAACGUAGCUUGUAAUUAAGAUGAGUGAAGUAUAAACCCCUUUACGAGUAUCCAAUUGGAGGGCAUGUCUAAUGCCAGCAGCCGCGGUAAUUCCAGCUCCAAUAGCGUAUAUUAAAGUUGUUGCAGUUAAAAAGCUCGUAGUUGGAUUUCUGUUGUAUAAUUUAUGAAUAUUACCAAGGUAAUUAUUAUAUUAUCAACAUCCUUCCUAUUAUAUUCUAAAUAUAUAGGAAAUUUUACUUUGAGAAAAUUAGAGUGCUUAAAGCAGGCAACUGCUUUGAAUACUCUAGCAUGGAAUAAUAAGUAAGGACUUUUGUCUUUCUUAUUGGUUCUAGGACAAAAGUAAUGGUUAAUAGGGACAGUUGGGGGCAUUCGUAUUUAACAGCCAGAGGUGAGAUUCUUAGAUUUGUUAAAGACGAACUACUGCGAAAGCAUUUGCCAAGGAUGUUUUCAUUAAUCAAGAACGAAAGUUAGGGGAUCGAAGACGAUCAGAUACCGUCGUAGUCUUAACCAUAAACUAUGCCGACUAGAGAUUGGAGGUUGUUCCUUACUCCUUCAGCACCUUAUGAGA
This 848-nucleotide ribosomal RNA is filed under the name Cryptosporidium andersoni. RNAcentral describes it as "SSU rRNA". It matches the Rfam family "Eukaryotic small subunit ribosomal RNA", at positions 194 to 1095 of the family's 1831-position model. Lineage: Eukaryota; Apicomplexa; Conoidasida; Eucoccidiorida; Cryptosporidiidae. The record is from RNAcentral.